CUCAGAAAGUUAGUUUCCCUUGGAGAGACAGAGAAGCUGACCCAGUUCACCUUAUUUAUACGAGGACAUUCACAUAGCUGGCGACCAUGUUAACAUUCAGCUACUCCAAAGCAUUCAAGGCAGAAGAAGUUAUAAAGAAGCCCCAGACAGUCUUCACUCUCAGGAGAACUUUCUGUCUAGCUGGCUAGUAAGCCCCAAGAAUCCACCUGUCAUGGUUUUCCACUGCUGGGAUUAUGAGUGCAGUCUGCCAUGCCUGGCAUUUUCUCAUCUGUGCUGGCAAUCACACUCGAGACUUCAUGCUUGUGGAAGAGUACUUUAUGGACCAAGCUAACUACUUACCCCCCUUCCAUCUCUUUAUACCUGUGUAAAACUUAAGGUUUCCAAGAGAAGGCAGCAAUUGAUAGUUUGUCCUUAGUCUGAGACAGACAGAGUUGAAAUGCUCUGACAAGAGUCUUAAAGGGAAGCAUUAGUCCGACUUCACCUGAACGGCUUUUAUGAGUGGUGUUUCAACCUUAGCUUCCACUCUUAGCCUACUUGACCAGAUCAAAUGCAUUAAGUUCACCUUCAACAUCUAUGGCUUCCCAGAUCAAGAUAGCUUUAGUUGUCUCUAUGAGGACUAUUUCCUACCAAGACCUGCUGCUAUUCUGUCUUUUGUCUUGCUCACAAGUAACCCAGACACUCCUUAGUUUAUGAUGUUUCAGAAACACUAGUUUAUGCAUUUACAGACCAUGUUUCCUAUUACUGUUUAGGAAUGGUGUUCUUCUUUUGAAUUCCUGCUUUCUCCUGGGAUAUUGUUUACACAGUGGAAAGCUUUCUCAGUAUACAUGAAGCCUCCUUAAUCUCUGUGACACACCAUAAAAACAGCAGUGCUUAAAGGUUUAUAAAAGUAUAUGUGAGUCCAUUUUCUGUUCCCAUAAGUGAGUUCAAUGGCCUGAGUAAUUUAAAGAGUAAAAAGGGUUAUUUGGCUCCUGGUUUGGAAGUUGGGAAGGUCAAAGGGCACUGAGCCUGCAUUUGCUUGGUAUCUACUAAGGGGCUUCUUACAGUAACCAUAAAGGCAGAUGGCAUUAAACAUCAAGGGUGAGCAAGUGUACUAGCUUGAAGCACCCUUCCUCAUCUUGUAAAGUCAGUAGUGACAUCAUGGGGAUCCUACUUUAUCUAACCAUAGUUACAUCUGAAAGUCCCCGUCUCCAAAUGUCAUUCGGCUGUGAUUUAAGGGAAUUCAAUUUCUACAACAUGAACUUUUUGGUGGGCACAUUCAAACUACAGUAAAGGACUUUUCUAGAAUAGAAAAAACAUGAACACUGAUUAAUUUUAAAGACAGAUGAUAUGUAUUUUAUAAAAUCUUUUCAUGAUAAAGGGGAAAAGAGAGAUUCAUAUGAUUCCCCUCAACCUGUCAGUUUGUGUCAUAUUUUAUAGAUUCAAAUCAAAUAAUAAGAAAUCAUAUAAUCAGUGAUGUUUACAUCUUUUUGAAAACCAAAUUUAUAUCAAUCAAAGCUCUACAUAAGAGAGCAACUCAGGGCUUCCUUUGGUAUUUGUUUGUUUGUUUGUUUAUAGACAGGUUGUCCCUAUGUAGCUCUGUCCUACAAUCUGCUGUAUAGACCUGUUAGCCUCAGACCCACAAAGAUGGGUCGGCCUGAGAAAGCCUCCUGCAUGAGAAAGAAUGCUUUUGCAUGAAUAUCCUUUCUUGGCUUCAAGAUACUUGGAUGCAUUCAACCCAAUCACCCAUCCCAACAUUCAAAUGUGUUUCUUUGUCAGGAACCAGCGCAUUCUGUUUCGUUGAUUCUACUAUUUGUCUGAGCUGAAGACUAACAUUCAUAGACCUUUUGUGGGAGCAACCCAAUCUCUACAAAUAUUAAAUGUCUUAAAUAAGAAUGGGGAUGCUUGGAAAUGUGGAAAGGAGUUAUUUGUAAGCCAUAUCAUCCAGUCUCUACAUCAAGCCUAUGUGACCUUAUGAUUUCAGAGAAUUAGAAUAAAAUAACUUUGGACUGUU
This is a long non-coding RNA of Onychomys torridus (southern grasshopper mouse), 1990 nucleotides long. RefSeq lists it as uncharacterized. The record is from RefSeq and is a predicted model, not a curated record. The transcript has 3 exons. NCBI's taxonomy places the organism in Eukaryota, Metazoa, Chordata, Mammalia, Rodentia, Cricetidae.